CUUGAUGGAGCCGAGCCAGAGCGGCCGGUCCUCCGUGUGCUCCCGGCCGUACGUGGCCAGCAGGGCCUGGGCUUC
RNAcentral lists this antisense RNA (75 nucleotides) under Streptomyces yokosukanensis. RNAcentral's name for it is "ASpks TB sRNA". It matches the Rfam family "ASpks TB sRNA". Lineage: Bacteria; Bacillati; Actinomycetota; Actinomycetes; Kitasatosporales; Streptomycetaceae. The record is from Rfam by way of RNAcentral.